Rhinopithecus roxellana (golden snub-nosed monkey) is the source of this 1713-nucleotide long non-coding RNA. RefSeq lists it as uncharacterized. The record is from RefSeq and is a predicted model, not a curated record. Lineage: Eukaryota; Metazoa; Chordata; Mammalia; Primates; Cercopithecidae. The transcript is spliced from 4 exons.
UCAGAAGCAGAUCAACUUCAAGGUGUUAGCUACUCUGUUUGCAGCCUUAGAAAGACAUCCUUGAUGUUUUAUUGUUCUGCCUUUGCUCAGAGCUGGAAACUGUCCCUGGGGAAAUGGCUCACCUUGAAAGAGAUGCUAUUGUAACAAAGGACCAAGACUAAAUUUGGUAGGCCAGGGAGAGUGGCAUCCCAUAGGAGGCCCCCAAAGGGAAUCUGCUGCAAAAUGGCCCUUCAGGAACCUGAUGAAACGCCUGGUCUAACAGAAGGAGGCAGAGAAAGUUAUGAAGAGGGGAUCCUGAAGAAUUUGCUCCUGGGCCGUGAAGAUGGGAAGCUGAGUCAGAGUGCAGUUCUUCACCCAAUCCCACAGCCACACAUGCCUGCUCACUCACGGGAUCUUCCCACUCUCCUUGGGAAGGCUUCCGAGCUGCUUGCUCAGGAUGUCCUGUGAUCGCAGCCUGACCUGUCAAAGCCAUGCGAAUGCCAUCUGUUCAGUUAUAUAACUUGAAAUCUGGGAAGAAUUCUCAACAUAGGAUUUGCUGCCCAAAUCGAAUCAUUUUCAGAAAGGAGAUUAAACAUUCUUUGCUGGGAAAAGGAGAAAUAACCAGACAAAUUAUCAUUUCACUGAGUAUAAACAAACCUUUGUCCAAAAUACACAAAUGAAAAUGACAAAUUUGCUUCACUAAUAUUUGCUUGCAUUAAAAAUAUACACAAGACUAUGGUUCAAUAUCUUAAGUGCAAAAUAAAUUCUUAAGUGGGAACAUGGAAUUAUUAAUUUAACCAAUCUUAAUUUUGUUUAGAUCAUUAGCCUGCAGUAUAAUGCCCCAAGCAGAAUUUGGGGUGAGGGGCUUGGUGGGGGAAGAGGAAGUGCUCAUUACUACAGACGUGACAAGAUUAUUAACACUACAGAAUGAUUUUUCUUUCAUGGGAGGGGAAGAUAUCUGGCCCACCAGCAGUCAGACAGAAACCCUGACUUGUGAUUUUAACAUUACCUUAUGUGACCCAUGGUCACCUUGUAUGACCAAAGAAAACCAUUUAUGAAAUAGCUGCCUGGAGUUAAGGAUUUAAAUGGUAACUUUGCAGACUAGGUUUUCUCUCGCCAUCUAAUUUGCUCGCCUUAACGCUUGUUUCUUUGCCCUUGUUCUUACUGGCCCUCGAGUAUGAUAUCCUGAGAAUUUAUGUUGAACAGCACUGAUUUUUUCACAUGGAGCUAGCACAUGUUUAUGACUAGUACAAGUUUAUGACUACAAAAAACAGAGAUUUUGUCAUCUUAAACUGAAUUUACUGGGAAUAAAAUCAGUCAAUACAGAAAAGUAUAACAAAGGAAAUAAAAAUCACCACAACUCCUACUACCUGAAGAUUAUAUGGUUAAAGUGUUUCAUAUAUUCUUCUGUAAUUUUUACACAUAUAUGUUUUCAAAUAAAAAUUAACCCUACCUAUAAACCAAACAAUAUUAUUUAACUAACAAGAGAAGAAUAAAUUAUAUUUGUGGUUGGCUAUAUAACAAAAAGAAUCCAGCCAUUCAGGGAAAAACAGGGUAAGACAAGGAAGGAAGCCAAAUAGAUGGACUGCAAUGGAAGUUCACCCAGAAUGAAUGAAUGAAUGAAUGAAUGAAUGAAUGAAUGAAUGAGGAGCUAUUUUACUGACUGUGGUCAGUCAGGGAACACCUAUUAGAAAAAGCAGCAUUUGGCCGGGCGCAGUGGCUCACGCCUGUAAU